This 556-nucleotide long non-coding RNA is filed under the name Gossypium barbadense (sea-island cotton). RNAcentral describes it as "long non-coding RNA (GBAR_LNC019855)". Lineage: Eukaryota; Viridiplantae; Streptophyta; Magnoliopsida; Malvales; Malvaceae. The record is from RNAcentral.
ACAUUAGUUUUCAGCGAAAAAUUCCUUUGAGUGUUCUUACCUUUCUGAUGGCUUGCUAAACACUUGGUUACCACAAAAUAAGGUUUAUACUUGCCAAAAGUGAGAGUAGCUAGGAAGGAUGACUUGAAGGCAUUUAGAUUAUUUAGUACAAAGAAAAGGAGGAGGGCCACCAUGGGAAGCUGCAAGGAGCAGUCACAGAUAACCCCCUGCAGUUUAACUAUUUCAUCUUCUUAUCAUAAAAUGGUCAUGGAUAACCCUCGUCGGCUACUCUUUCUUCCUUUUCUCUUUAUUGUUAAUUAUUGUUUUCUGUGUCGAAAGACAAUAUUGCAUCUCAUCUUUAUAUUUUCAAUUUAAUAUAACAUGACUUAAUUUUGUUUAUUCAAAAUGAAUUUGAAUCUUGAUUUGAGUUAAUCAAUUUUUGUUUUUUGAAUAUUUUUUGUAAAUGAUUAUUUCAGUCAUUUAGGUUUAAUUCAUGAUUAUACUUGUAAAUGUACGGCCAACAUUUGUGGCUUAAUGAAUUAAUUUUUUUAAUAUGAGAAGAGGUAAUGGUUUAUUG